GUCUACCUUCGUACCUUAAAGUUGUUCUUAUUAAUCAUUUUUUUGUUGUUUUAUUUGUUGGUUCCAUAAAAAAUAAAUCUAUUUAUUGCACAAAUUUUGGACAAAAUUAAUCUUAUCCAUUCUCAUUCGAAUAUUUUAGUAAUGCUUAUGAUCUCCACGUAAUUUCUAUCAACUUUAUUUGAACAUUUUUAUCUUGCUUAUGGUCCUCACUUGUUUUCCACUAAUUUUAUAAAAUAUUUUUUAAUAGUUAUAUUUUUUAUAUUUUUUCCACUAACUUUCUUUUAAAUUUUUUUUAAUGUUUAUGGAUCUCAUCUUUCCUCCAUCAAAUUUACUAUUCAAUAAAAUAAUAUAUUUACCAUCUUAAAAUUUAUAUUUUUGUUAACACCCGUAAAUCUUCCGUUGUGAAAUUUUUUUUAAAAAACAGAAAAAUUACAAAUUAAAGCAUUACUCGUAUUAUCUAAUGUACCUUACUCUUGGUGUUAGAUUUAUUAUCUAUCUUAAUCUCAUCCAAAAAAAAUCAAUGCUAUUUCAAAGAGACCAAUCACGUACUUUCUCCGUUGCAAGUAUAUAUUUACUUGUAAUAUUUAUUUUUUCACACAGUUUAAUGCACUAAUUUAAUCCUUAAUAUCUUUAAUUAUGUAUAAUAAAAAUUUUAAAAAUUUAAUAUUAAUAAUCUUUGCAAUGAGACGAAUUAAACAAGAUCUCACUCGACUAUGUUUUAACUUAUAGAUAAAAAACCGCCUCCCUCCCCUUUUCUCUCUUCUCUCUAAAAAAACUCUAAUCUCCAUAAUUGGUUUGGAUCUAUUAUCAACCUUUUGGUUGAUGGUAAGUCUCUAAAUUUAUCCGUUUUAAGCUUUUUGAAUAUGAUUAUAAUAAAUUCUUGUCCUCUCCCUACAGGAAAAUUGUUCUACCCAUAUAUUAGGUUUUGAUCUCUCUCUUCAUGAGAGUUUGGAAUUAUGAAGUUUGGUUUGUAAUUGAUUUGUUGGUAGAGAUUAAUGCUAUAAUGCAGCAGACAUUAAAAUUACAAUUACCAUCAACUACAUCAAAUUCAAUUCUAUCUCAAGACUACAACAGGUCAAAAAACCCUCUCGUAAAAGGCUGUGUCAAACAGCGAUGUGAAAGAGGAUAUUCAGAAUUGUCAGAUCUCAUAUACAACAAUCGUAGCUUUGUUAAUUUUGAAUUAUCUUUGGUUAGAGUUGUUAUGUACUCGCUAAUUUUUAUCUCUGAUGUAGAUGUCAUAUAACUCUUUAUUAAUGAAUCAGGUAUUAUUCAAAAAAAAAUAUUUUAACUUAUAAAUUAAAAACUAAUUACAAAUUAAGAGUAAUGAAUAAAUAGUGUCAUUUUACCUAAUAUUGCAACUAAUAUGUAACCAUGGAAGUAUUAUCAAGUGUAUAUUACUCCUUGACCCUAGUGUUAGAUUUUUUUUUCCAAUGUCCUCAACUUACAACUUUUUAUAAGGACAUUCCAAGUAACACAAAUUCUGAAAAGGAGGCUUAUCUUAUGUCUUUCCAAAUUAACAUACAACACUCAUUAAUUCUUUACAUAUUACAACUUGCUCAAAAAUCUCAAUAAAGUUACAAAGUUAAUUAAACCAGAAAACUUAUCUCAAAAUACUUUAAUCACAAGAAAUUUGUAUACCCCAAAAGAGCAGCAAGCCAACCAUGAAUCCAGGCAAUGAAGAACACCUCCUUGAAUCUAAAAAAGGCCAUACCGACUCUCGGAAUGUCACUCAAACUCAAGGAAUGGACCCUAAUCCUAAGACUCGGAGAGAAGAACACAAAUAUCUACAGGACGAUAAAGAGGUACAAAUACCUGCAGGAUGAUUAAUCAUGCUGGACGAUAGAGAAACGUAAAUACUUGCAGUAUGGUCAAUUCUGCAGAACGAUAGCAGCGUAUAUAAUGACAUGGCGUAAGAUAACUGCAACCUUACUCAGAGAAAGCUGUCAACACUUGUAUAAGGCGAGGCAGCACACCUACCUCAUACCCUACCUAGGAAAAUAUACUAAAGGACAGACAGUGGGGACAGCAAAUCACCAAAUACCACAUAAGCUUACUAGAUAUUCCACAUGAUCCUUAAAAGGAUUUCAUUUAUGGUAAAAGCUAAAAAUGGCCAUUAGGGUUUUGGGAUCUUCUCCUAAGACCCCCGCUACUAUAAAUACACGAUGUCAAGCAUCACCAAGGGUAAUGUAUCUUCUUACACUAAAAACCCAUAAAAAAUAUUCUCUUGAGCUUUAACAACAAUCUUCUUAAGACCUUUACUGACUUAAUCAUUGGAGGAGGACCUCCGAAGGACCCCUCCCCGGCCCUCGUUUGUUACCUUGUGCAGGAGAAUAUAGUGAAACAGCCCAAAAAGCGACUUAAACCUCCCCAGUAUUUCAUAUAUACUGUGAACCUUAAAAGACAUUCUCAUCACUACAGUUAAGAUUGUUGAUUGUUCUCUCAACAGCGGGAACAACUGCAUCAAAAAUUCAUUCAGCAGAAAAUCAGUUAACUGUCAAAGAUAUCCUUCACCAAAAAAUUACCUUAAAAGGUCCUUUUAUUACCUAUCUUUGUGUUCAUUUGCUCUCUUUUUUAAAUUUGAUAGGUUUUUUAUGGGUACUACAUAAUUACAUUAUUUUCUCAAAAGCUUUUCAUAUUUCAAUUUUGUGUCAGAUAUUGGGUUGAUGGACAUACUGAUUUUUGGUGUUCAUUUAGUGAUGUUUUUCGGUUUGCUUUACAAGUACUUAGAAUGGAGUGCAUUUUGGAACUUAAGUAUGGCGAUUUCGAUCAUGGAAGAACAAUCUGGGAUCGCGGCGUUUGGGAUAUCGGAUUAUUAUGGUAAGCAUUGCAAGAAAACUGGGUUUGGACUAAUGUUAGGUGUUUUCAUGUUUGGUAAUGUUCUGAGAUUUGCCUGUUUGUUUGCUGGAUUGUGUAAUGGUGGAAGAUUUGGUGGUGUUUUGAUUACUUGUAUUGUUAUGAUGUUUUUCAUUGGGGAAUUUGGUUAAAUGGAUAGCUUUUUUUGUGUAUUUUUAUCAUUUUAAGCAGCAAACUAUGGAAAAGAAGUUUGAUGAUGAUCAAGAAUUGGGUGGUAGAGUAGUGAGUAAUACUGCUUUAUCUUGAUAUUGUGGUGUGGGAAGCAACGAAAUUUGUAAGGUGUAAUUUCGUAAGAGACUGUCGUUCGGUGAGACGAACUCAAAAUAAAAGGAGUUUAUAUUUUAAUAUAGUAAUUGUUAGUUGGGCUAUUUAGCCCAUGCAUGAAGAGCUCUUCACGGUGAGACCAUCUAACCCAAGAAUGUGUGGUUUGUAAGUAGAUCCUUGCAGUGAAAAAAGGAUUAAAUGGGCUGACUUAUUCAGUUCGACCGUCUUUGCAUAUAGUCUGUCUAUCCUUAUGAAAUUGCGUUAUUUUAUAAAAGUUGUGUUGAUUAUUAGCUCUAGUUUGUAAAUUUUUGCUAGAAAAAAGAAUAUCUAAAUUGUUGUUAGCUUGGUAUCUGAUUAAAUUAAACACCCGACUAAGUUAUUACAUGUUGGGAUUUUUUUUGUGAAUCAAAGUUAACUUUAUGAUUAAGCAGUAACUUUCUUUUGUACAAAACGUGUAUAAAUUCAGUAUAAUUAUAGUAUAUCCCUCUUUUAUAAAUAAUAAAUUACUACAUUCAUUCGAGUGA
Long non-coding RNA from Amaranthus tricolor (Joseph's coat), 3641 nucleotides. RefSeq lists it as uncharacterized. NCBI's taxonomy places the organism in Eukaryota, Viridiplantae, Streptophyta, Magnoliopsida, Caryophyllales, Amaranthaceae. The record is from RefSeq and is a predicted model, not a curated record. The transcript is spliced from 2 exons.